AUAUAGAUAGCAUGGAAUGAGUUGCCUGAAUAAGCCAGGAAAACCAAUGACUUUAGACAGCUAGUAACUAGAUCUGUCUAAAACUAAUGCACUGUUAGUUUCUGUAUAGACAAAUUAUAAAUCUAGAAUUAAAGUCUAUCACUGUAUGAUUACUAGUAAAAUGUUUGUUGUUUGUAAAAUGUUUUACUUGUUUCGGAUGUUCCUUCAUAGUUGAAGAUAAUUUACUUCCUAGUCCAAAACUCCAGCAGGACGACGAAGAUAGGGGUGAGCAAGGUUUGAACCAGAGUUCAUCGAUAAGUCUAAACGACACUUCAGCGCGCAAAUAUAAAUGAGCCCCUUCUACCCAAUAUAAUCUUACUAGUUUAGGCAUCUGUUUCUUGCCUUCUCCUGGUCAGUGCCACCAGUCUCAAUAUCUGGACUGCACAUGAAGGUAAUUAGCACUUCAAGCGAUAACAACCUUGCAAAACCAAAUACAUGGAUGGCGGAAUGGCUUGGCUUCCGAACUGAGGAGUCUUGCGUUCAAAUCCAGGUGAAGAUGGGAAAUAUUGAAUUUUGAGAUUUUUAGGGCGCCCUUUAGUCCACCAAGACAACAUAACUCUGGCUGGCUUCAUGAAACUCUCAUUAACCUUAGGAAACAGAAACAGAUGAUCUUUACAUCAUCUGCACCAUAGACUGUAAGAUCUGAAAGAGGAUCUUUAUACUUUUUAUAUCUAUAUUUAUUUUUUUUUUCUUUCAUUAGGUAUUGAUAUGAUUGAAAACUGGCAUUUAAUUAACAAGAAGCUAAUGGCUAACCAAAACUCCUGACAAUAUGAAAAAGUUAAGUGCUACUCUAGAUAAAAAGAUGCACAGCUGUAGGAACUUAUGAACCUGCCCAUGUCGAACAGGUUGUACUGCUCUGAAGCUUGCUUUGAAGAUAACAUCUAAGAGCAUGUACAGCUAUGAAGUAAUACCGGUUAAAAGAAAUGAUUUCAAUAGAGACACAGAAAGACAUUCAACGCAAGAUACAAUACCAGAAAUUGGAAAGAAAUGAUGCAACGACAACAUCAAGGAAUAUUCAAGUCUUUUAAUAAAUGGGAUAAUGUGAGUAGCAGAAAACAGAGUGUUGGAAGGAACUGGUCAGUUUGACAGACUAAGGAGUAGCAUAAGUAAAGGUAUAGUAGUAUGUUUCUUUUUAAGUUUGUUUCCAAUAAUAGAAUCCAGAAAAGUUUAAUGAUAAUAACUUGGACAUUACAAGGUUUGAAAACUUGUGUGUGUGCAUUGAAAACAAAUUGAAACAAACUGAAUUCUACUUGAGAAUGACAUCAAUAAAU
Long non-coding RNA from Biomphalaria glabrata, 1310 nucleotides. RefSeq lists it as uncharacterized. Lineage: Eukaryota; Metazoa; Mollusca; Gastropoda; Planorbidae. The record is from RefSeq and is a predicted model, not a curated record. The transcript is spliced from 3 exons.